Molecule: ribosomal RNA, 207 nt
Filed under: uncultured bacterium
Lineage: Bacteria
Description: partial 16S ribosomal RNA
Rfam family: Bacterial small subunit ribosomal RNA
Source: RNAcentral
CGGAUUGUAGUCUGNAACCCGACUACAUGAAGCUGGAAUCGCUAGUAAUCGCAGGUCAGCAUACUGCGGUGAAUACGUUCCCGGGUCUUGUACACACCGCCCGUCACACCAUGGGAGCCGGAAAUGCCCGAAGCCAGUGACCCAACCUUAGGGAGGGAGCUGUCGAAGGUGGAGCCGGUAACUGGGGUGAAGUCGUAACAAGGUACC